Molecule: transfer RNA, 75 nt
Filed under: Allocebus trichotus (hairy-eared dwarf lemur)
Lineage: Eukaryota; Metazoa; Chordata; Mammalia; Primates; Cheirogaleidae
Description: tRNA-Leu
Rfam family: tRNA
About the family: Transfer RNA (tRNA) molecules are approximately 80 nucleotides in length.
Source: RNAcentral
AUUAAGAUGGCAGAGCCCGGUAAAUGCAUAAAACUUAAACCUUUACGACCAGAGGUUCAACUCCUCUUCUUAAUA